UGUAGAGCAUCGAAGCAAAUCAUGAUAAUGUUCUCAGGGGUACUAAACUCCAAGAAAGAGCUAGGUAGAAUGCUAAAAGAUGAGAUGAACUAUUACUUUCCACCCGUUCCUCCCCUAUGACAAGAAACACAAGCCGCACGGAAAAAUAAUCCGAACUCCACCAUAGUUCCGUUGUAGACAACGCAUGUUGUAGGUUCAUUCCCGAUGCCCCGCAAUCCAAUGUCAUUCUUUGUUGUUGUUCAUCAACCCUUUGUUUAGUUUUUCGAAACUUGGUUUUUUUUUCUGUAAUGGAGUAUUAUGUAUUCCGUAGGUGAAGAAGAUGAGUUAGUGUGUAGCUUUUUUUUUUCGAGAAUAUGCCUUGGCCGGGCAUAUCAUCUAUAAAAGAAGGAGAACUGCAGAGCACUUAGACCCGAAGGCUAGCGUUUACAACAAAAUUAGCCAGUG
Molecule: long non-coding RNA, 444 nt
Filed under: Brachypodium distachyon (stiff brome)
Lineage: Eukaryota; Viridiplantae; Streptophyta; Magnoliopsida; Poales; Poaceae
Description: long non-coding RNA (BDIS_LNC004399)
Source: RNAcentral